Molecule: ribosomal RNA, 301 nt
Filed under: uncultured bacterium
Lineage: Bacteria
Description: partial 16S ribosomal RNA
Rfam family: Bacterial small subunit ribosomal RNA
Source: RNAcentral
CAGUCGCCACGGUAAAACGAAGGGUGCAAGCGUUAAUCGGAAUUACUGGGCGUAAAGCGCGCGUAGGUGGUUUGGUAAGAUGGAUGUGAAAUCCCCGGGCUCAACCUGGGAACUGCAUCCAUAACUGCCUGACUAGAGUACGGUAGAGGGUGGUGGAAUUUCCUGUGUAGCGGUGAAAUGCGUAGAUAUAGGAAGGAACACCAGUGGCGAAGGCGACCACCUGGACUGAUACUGACACUGAGGUGCGAAAGCGUGGGGAGCAAACAGGAUUAGAUACCCCUGUAGUCCCUGUCUCUUAUAC